Molecule: ribosomal RNA, 1667 nt
Filed under: Staphylococcus aureus
Lineage: Bacteria; Bacillati; Bacillota; Bacilli; Caryophanales; Staphylococcaceae
Description: partial 23S ribosomal RNA
Rfam family: Bacterial large subunit ribosomal RNA
Source: RNAcentral
CCCGGAAGGGGAGUGAAAUAGAACCUGAAACCGUGUGCUUACAAGUAGUCAGAGCCCGUUAAUGGGUGAUGGCGUGCCUUUUGUAGAAUGAACCGGCGAGUUACGAUUUGAUGCAAGGUUAAGCAGUAAAUGUGGAGCCGUAGCGAAAGCGAGUCUGAAUAGGGCGUUUAGUAUUUGGUCGUAGACCCGAAACCAGGUGAUCUACCCUUGGUCAGGUUGAAGUUCAGGUAACACUGAAUGGAGGACCGAACCGACUUACGUUGAAAAGUGAGCGGAUGAACUGAGGGUAGCGGAGAAAUUCCAAUCGAACCUGGAGAUAGCUGGUUCUCUCCGAAAUAGCUUUAGGGCUAGCCUCAAGUGAUGAUUAUUGGAGGUAGAGCACUGUUUGGACGAGGGGCCCCUCUCGGGUUACCGAAUUCAGACAAACUCCGAAUGCCAAUUAAUUUAACUUGGGAGUCAGAACAUGGGUGAUAAGGUCCGUGUUCGAAAGGGAAACAGCCCAGACCACCAGCUAAGGUCCCAAAAUAUAUGUUAAGUGGAAAAGGAUGUGGCGUUGCCCAGACAACUAGGAUGUUGGCUUAGAAGCAGCCAUCAUUUAAAGAGUGCGUAAUAGCUCACUAGUCGAGUGACACUGCGCCGAAAAUGUACCGGGGCUAAACAUAUUACCGAAGCUGUGGAUUGUCCUUUGGACAAUGGUAGGAGAGCGUUCUAAGGGCGUUGAAGCAUGAUCGUAAGGACAUGUGGAGCGCUUAGAAGUGAGAAUGCCGGUGUGAGUAGCGAAAGACGGGUGAGAAUCCCGUCCACCGAUUGACUAAGGUUUCCAGAGGAAGGCUCGUCCGCUCUGGGUUAGUCGGGUCCUAAGCUGAGGCCGACAGGCGUAGGCGAUGGAUAACAGGUUGAUAUUCCUGUACCACCUAUAAUCGUUUUAAUCGAUGGGGGGACGCAGUAGGAUAGGCGAAGCGUGCGAUUGGAUUGCACGUCUAAGCAGUAAGGCUGAGUAUUAGGCAAAUCCGGUACUCGUUAAGGCUGAGCUGUGAUGGGGAGAAGACAUUGUGUCUUCGAGUCGUUGAUUUCACACUGCCGAGAAAAGCCUCUAGAUAGAAAAUAGGUGCCCGUACCGCAAACCGACACAGGUAGUCAAGAUGAGAAUUCUAAGGUGAGCGAGCGAACUCUCGUUAAGGAACUCGGCAAAAUGACCCCGUAACUUCGGGAGAAGGGGUGCUCUUUAGGGUUAACGCCCAGAAGAGCCGCAGUGAAUAGGCCCAAGCGACUGUUUAUCAAAAACACAGGUCUCUGCUAAACCGUAAGGUGAUGUAUAGGGGCUGACGCCUGCCCGGUGCUGGAAGGUUAAGAGGAGUGGUUAGCUUCUGCGAAGCUACGAAUCGAAGCCCCAGUAAACGGCGGCCGUAACUAUAACGGUCCUAAGGUAGCGAAAUUCCUUGUCGGGUAAGUUCCGACCCGCACGAAAGGCGUAACGAUUUGGGCACUGUCUCAACGAGAGACUCGGUGAAAUCAUAGUACCUGUGAAGAUGCAGGUUACCCGCGACAGGACGGAAAGACCCCGUGGAGCUUUACUGUAGCCUGAUAUUGAAAUUCGGCACAGCUUGUACAGGAUAGGUAGGAGCCUUUGAAACGUGAGCGCUAGCUUACGUGGAGGCGCUGGUGGG